GACGAACCGUGCGAACGUUGUCCGGAUUUACUGGGCGUAAAGGGCGCGUAGGCGGCCAGCGCAAGUCAGUUGUGAAAUCUCCGGGCUUAACUCGGAACGGUCAACUGAUACUGCGCGGCUAGAGUGCAGAAGGGGCAACUGGAAUUCUCGGUGUAGCGGUGAAAUGCGUAGAUAUCGAGAGGAACACCUGCGGCGAAGGCGGGUUGCUGGGCUGACACUGACGCUGAUGCGCGAAAGCCAGGGGAGCGAACGGG
Molecule: ribosomal RNA, 254 nt
Filed under: uncultured bacterium
Lineage: Bacteria
Description: partial 16S ribosomal RNA
Rfam family: Bacterial small subunit ribosomal RNA
Source: RNAcentral